RNAcentral lists this ribosomal RNA (372 nucleotides) under uncultured bacterium. RNAcentral's name for it is "bacterial SSU rRNA". It matches the Rfam family "Bacterial small subunit ribosomal RNA", at positions 524 to 898 of the family's 1533-position model. The record is from RNAcentral.
UACGGAGGGUGCAAGCGUUAUCCGGAUUUAUUGGGUUUAAAGGGUCCGUAGGCGGAUUUGUAAGUCAGUGGUAAAAUCUCACAGCUUAACUGUGAAACUGCCAUUGAUACUGCAAGUCUUGAGUGUUGUUGAAGUAGCUGGAAUAAGUAGUGUAGCGGUGAAAUGCAUAGAUAUUACUUAGAACACCAAUUGCGAAGGCAGGUUACUAAGCAACAACUGACGCUGAUGGACGAAAGCGUGGGGAGCGAACAGGAUUAGAUACCCUGGUAGUCCACGCCGUAAACGAUGCUAACUCGUUUUUGGGAUGUAAAUUUCAGAGACUAAGCGAAAGUGAUAAGUUAGCCACCUGGGGAGUACGAACGCAAGUUUGAA